GGUUGGUCCGAGUGCAGUGGUGUUUACAACUAAUUGAUCACAACCAGUUACAGAUUCCUUUGUUCCUUCUCCACUCCCACUGCUCCACUUGACCAGCCU
This 99-nucleotide Y RNA is filed under the name Microcebus murinus (gray mouse lemur). RNAcentral describes it as "Y RNA (ENSMICG00000046583.1)". It matches the Rfam family "Y RNA". From Rfam's summary of the family: Y RNAs are components of the Ro ribonucleoprotein particle (Ro RNP), in association with Ro60 and La proteins. Lineage: Eukaryota; Metazoa; Chordata; Mammalia; Primates; Cheirogaleidae. The record is from Rfam by way of RNAcentral.